UCCUGGCGUACAGAACGAACGCUGGCGGCAUGCCUAACACAUGCAAGUCGAACGAGACCUUCGGGUCUAGUGGCGCACGGGUGCGUAACGCGUGGGAAUCUGCCCUUGGGUUCGGAAUAACAGUUAGAAAUGACUGCUAAUACCGGAUAAUGUCUUCGGACCAAAGAUUUAUCGCCCAGGGAUGAGCCCGCGUAGGAUUAGCUAGUUGGUGAGGUAAAGGCUCACCAAGGCGACGAUCCUUAGCUGGUCUGAGAGGAUGAUCAGCCACACUGGGACUGAGACACGGCCCAGACUCCUACGGGAGGCAGCAGUGGGGAAUAUUGGACAAUGGGCGAAAGCCUGAUCCAGCAAUGCCGCGUGAGUGAUGAAGGCCUUAGGGUUGUAAAGCUCUUUUACCCGGGAUGAUAAUGACAGUACCGGGAGAAUAAGCCCCGGCUAACUCCGUG
Molecule: ribosomal RNA, 446 nt
Filed under: uncultured bacterium
Lineage: Bacteria
Description: bacterial SSU rRNA
Rfam family: Bacterial small subunit ribosomal RNA
Source: RNAcentral